AAAACAUUAGCGCUUUUGGUAAGUGCUCUAUCAGAGGACAAUGGGACGGAGGCGCGUGCACGAGGCGACCCCGUGUUUUUAUUUUCUCUCUCUUUGAACCUAAAGACGCUUUCCCGGUCAGAAUAUUAUCGCUUUUUAUGAGAAAAAUGGCAUAAAAAUUUAUUUUAAACAGCGGUUGACAUGCUUCGAAGUACGGUAAUUGAAUAUUUAGAAUUUUUUUGUCAUGAAAUGCGUCGUGCGCGUCACCCUUCUUUACCAUUCGGAUAGUGUCUUGAACGCACGAACAAAACAGAGGAUAUUUGAAUAUAACUAUGGAUUAUUUUUAACCAAACCAACAUUUGUUAUUGAAGUAGAAGUCCUGGGAGUGCAUUCUGACGAAGAACAGCAAAGCUUUCCUGAAAUGUGAGAUCCCACUUACUAGUUUAUCAGAGGAAAAGCUGUAUGAUGGGUCUGGAACUGAAAUUCAUGGGGAUGUGUUUGAGGAGGUGGUGACAAGGCCAGAUCUUGGUGUUUUCAAGCUCACACUGAACAAUGAUGCUAAAGAAUCUUCCCUGAUGAGUCCUGUCUCUGCCAGUUCUGUGAUGGGUGGUUCAGACCAUGAGUCAGUUGAUACAAUCAUUUUGAGCGAGGAUGGAAGCCCCUCACGAAAGCGUCAAAGAUCUGAUGACGAAGCAAAAAAUCUAAUAGAGAGCAUACUGAAGAAAAAGCCUGGUGGAGAGGUUGUCAUCAAGGAAUACUACAAAACUAAAAGCCUGACUGACUGCACCAGACGAAAGAUGAUCAAAAUUCUUGUUUCGGCGAUGACAGAGACUCAUGGG
This 818-nucleotide long non-coding RNA is filed under the name Salmo salar (Atlantic salmon). RNAcentral describes it as "lncRNA (ENSSSAG00000086815.1)". Lineage: Eukaryota; Metazoa; Chordata; Actinopteri; Salmoniformes; Salmonidae. The record is from RNAcentral.